This 550-nucleotide ribosomal RNA is filed under the name uncultured bacterium. RNAcentral describes it as "bacterial SSU rRNA". It matches the Rfam family "Bacterial small subunit ribosomal RNA", at positions 355 to 896 of the family's 1533-position model. The record is from RNAcentral.
UAGGGAAUCUUCGGCAAUGGGGGCAACCCUGACCGAGCAACGCCGCGUGAGUGAAGAAGGUUUUCGGAUCGUAAAGCUCUGUUGUAAGAGAAGAACGAGUGUGAGAGUGGAAAGUUCACACUGUGACGGUAACUUACCAGAAAGGGACGGCUAACUACGUGCCAGCAGCCGCGGUAAUACGUAGGUCCCGAGCGUUAUCCGGAUUUAUUGGGCGUAAAGCGAGCGCAGGCGGUUAGAUAAGUCUGAAGUUAAAGGCUGUGGCUUAACCAUAGUACGCUUUGGAAACUGUUUAACUUGAGUGCAGAAGGGGAGAGUGGAAUUCCAUGUGUAGCGGUGAAAUGCGUAGAUAUAUGGAGGAACACCGGUGGCGAAAGCGGCUCUCUGGUCUGUAACUGACGCUGAGGCUCGAAAGCGUGGGGAGCAAACAGGAUUAGAUACCCUGGUAGUUCACGCCGUAAACGAUGAGUGCUAGGUGUUGGGUCCUUUCCGGGACUCAGUGCCGCAGCUAACGCAUUAAGCACUCCGCCUGGGGAGUACGACCGCAAGGUUG